UCUACGGGAGGCAGCAGUGGGGAAUAUUGCGCAAUGGGCGAAAGCCUGACGCAGCGACGCCGCGUGAGGGAUGAAGGUCUUCGGAUCGUAAACAUCUGUCAGCAGGGAAGAACGGUCACUGUGCUAAUCAGCAGUGAAUUGACGGUACCUGCAAAGGAAGCACCGGCUAACUCCGUGCCAGCAGCCGCGGUAAUACGGAGGGUGCGAGCGUUAAUCGGAAUUACUGGGCGUAAAGCGCUCGUAGGCGGUAUGUCAAGUCAAGGGUGAAAUCCCCGCGCUCAACGUGGGAACUGCCUUUGAAACUGGCAAACUGGAGUGUGUGAGAGGAUAGUGGAAUUCCAGGUGUAGGAGUGAAAUCCGUAGAUAUCUGGAGGAACAUCAGUGGCGAAGGCGACUAUCUGGCACAUAACUGACGCUGAGGAGCGAAAGCGUGGGUAGCAAACAGGAUUAGAUACCCGAGUAGUC
Molecule: ribosomal RNA, 465 nt
Filed under: uncultured bacterium
Lineage: Bacteria
Description: partial 16S ribosomal RNA
Rfam family: Bacterial small subunit ribosomal RNA
Source: RNAcentral